RNAcentral lists this ribosomal RNA (429 nucleotides) under uncultured bacterium. RNAcentral's name for it is "bacterial SSU rRNA". It matches the Rfam family "Bacterial small subunit ribosomal RNA", at positions 30 to 455 of the family's 1533-position model. The record is from RNAcentral.
AUUGAACGCUGGCGGUAUGCUUAACACAUGCAAGUCGAACGGUAACAGGCAAAGCUUGCUUUGCGCUGACGAGUGGCGGACGGGUGAGUAACGCGUGGGAAUCUACCUUAUAGUGGGGGAUAGCCCGGAGAAAUCCGGAUUAAUACCGCAUAAGCCCUAAGGGGGAAAGCCGGGGAUCUUCGGACCUGGCGCUAUUAGAUGAGCCCGCGUUAGAUUAGCUAGUUGGUGGGGUAAAGGCCUACCAAGGCGACGAUCUAUAGCUGGUCUGAGAGGACGAUCAGCCACACUGGGACUGAGACACGGCCCAGACUCCUACGGGAGGCAGCAGUGGGGAAUAUUGCACAAUGGGCGCAAGCCUGAUGCAGCAAUACCGCGUGUGUGAAGAAGGCCUGCGGGUUGUAAAGCACUUUCAAUCGUGAAGAAAUGUUC